RNAcentral lists this ribosomal RNA (491 nucleotides) under uncultured bacterium. Its description in RNAcentral is "partial 16S ribosomal RNA". It matches the Rfam family "Bacterial small subunit ribosomal RNA", at positions 29 to 506 of the family's 1533-position model. The record is from RNAcentral.
AGUGAACGCUGGCGGUAGGCCUAACACAUGCCAGUCGAACGGCAGCACAGUAAGAGCUUGCUCUUACGGGUGGCGAGUGGCGGACGGGUGAGGAAUACAUCGGAAUCUACUUUUUCGUGGGGGAUAACGUAGGGAAACUUACGCUAAUACCGCAUACGACCUACGGGUGAAAGCAGGGGAUCUUCGGACCUUGCGCGAUUGAAUGAGCCGAUGUCGGAUUAGCUAGUUGGCGGGGUAAAGGCCCACCAAGGCGACGAUCCGUAGCUGGUCUGAGAGGAUGAUCAGCCACCCUGGAACUAGGCCACGGUCCAGACUCCAACGGGAGGCAGCAGUGGGAAAUAUUGGACAAUGGGCGCAAGCCUGAUCCAGCCAUACCGCGUGGGUGAAGAAGGCCUUCGGGUGGUAAAGCCCUUUUGUUGGGAAAGAAAAGCAGCAGGUUAAUACCCCGCUGUUCUGACGGUACCCAAAGAAUAAGCACCGGCUACCUUCGU